Molecule: ribosomal RNA, 480 nt
Filed under: uncultured bacterium
Lineage: Bacteria
Description: partial 16S ribosomal RNA
Rfam family: Bacterial small subunit ribosomal RNA
Source: RNAcentral
GACGAACGCUGGCGGCGUGCCUAACACAUGCAAGUCGAGCGAGUGAAUCUCCUUCGGGAGUGAAACUAGCGGCGGACGGGUGAGUAACACGUGGGCAACCUGCCUCAUAGAGAGGAAUAGUCUUUCGAAAGGAAGAUUAAUACCGCAUAAGAUUGUAGCUUCGCAUGAAGUAGCAAUUAAAGGAGUAAUCCGCUAUGGGAUGGGCCCGCGGCGCAUUAGCUAGUUGGUGAGGUAACGGCUCACCAAGGCGACGAUGCGUAGCCGACCUGAGAGGGUGAUCGGCCACAUUGGGACUGAGACACGGCCCAGACUCCUACGGGAGGCAGCAGUGGGGAAUAUUGCACAAUGGGGGAAACCCUGAUGCAGCAACGCCGCGUGAGUGAUGACGGCCUUCGGGUUGUAAAGCUCUGUCUUCAGGGACGAUAAUGACGGUACCUGAGGAGGAAGCCACGGCUAACUACGUGCCAGCAGCCGCCGUAA